AGCGUACGCUGGCGGCAGGCCUAACACAUGCAAGUCGAACGAACUCUUCGGAGUUAGUGGCGGACGGGUGAGUAACACGUGGGAACGUGCCUUUUGGUUCGGUAUAACUCAGGGAAACUUGUGCUAAUACCGAAUGUGCCCUUCGGGGGAAAGAUUUAUCGCCAUUGGAGCGGCCCGCGUCUGAUUAGCUAGUUGGUGAGGUAACGGCUCACCAAGGCGACGAUCAGUAGCUGGUCUGAGAGGAUGACCAGCCACGCUGGGACUGAGACACGGCCCAGACUCCUACGGGAGGCAGCAGUGGGGAAUCUUGCGCAAUGGGCGAAAGCCUGACGCAGCCAUGCUGCGUGAAUGAUGAAGGUCUUAGGAUUGUAAAAUUCUUUCACCGGGGACGAUAAUGACGGUACCCGGAGAAGAGGCCCCGGCUAACUUCGUG
Molecule: ribosomal RNA, 433 nt
Filed under: uncultured bacterium
Lineage: Bacteria
Description: partial 16S ribosomal RNA
Rfam family: Bacterial small subunit ribosomal RNA
Source: RNAcentral